UACGAAGGGGGCUAGCGUUGCUCGGAAUCACUGGGCGUAAAGGGUGCGUAGGCGGGUCUUUAAGUCAGGGGUGAAAUCCUGGAGCUCAACUCCAGAACUGCCUUUGAUACUGAGGAUCUUGAGUACGGGAGAGGUGAGUGGAACUGCGAGUGUAGAGGUGAAAUUCGUAGAUAUUCGCAAGAACACCAGUGGCGAAGGCGGCUCACUGGCUCGAUACUGACGCUGAGGUGCGAAAGCGUGGGGAGCAAACAGG
Molecule: ribosomal RNA, 253 nt
Filed under: uncultured bacterium
Lineage: Bacteria
Description: partial 16S ribosomal RNA
Rfam family: Bacterial small subunit ribosomal RNA
Source: RNAcentral